Molecule: ribosomal RNA, 497 nt
Filed under: uncultured bacterium
Lineage: Bacteria
Description: partial 16S ribosomal RNA
Rfam family: Bacterial small subunit ribosomal RNA
Source: RNAcentral
GAUGAACGCUGGCGGCGUGCCUAAUACAUGCAAGUCGAGCGAACAGACGAGGAGCUUGCUCCGCUGACGUUAGCGGCGGACGUGUGAGUAACACGUGGAUAACCUACCUAUAAGACUGGGAUAACUUCGGGAAACCGGAUCUAAUACCGUAUAAUAUAUUGAACCGCAGGGUUCAAUAGUGAAAUACGGUUUUGCUGUCACUUAUAGAUGGAUCCGCGCCGCAUUAGCUAGUUGGUAAGGUAACGGCUUACCAAGGCAACGAUGCGUAGCCGACCUGAGAGGGUGAUCGGCCACACUGGAAGUGAGACACGGUCAAGACUACUACGGGAGGUAGCAGUAGGGAAUCUUCCGCAAUGGGCGAAAGCCUGACGGAGCAACGCCGCGUGAGUGAUGAAGGUCUUCGGAUCGUAAAACUCUGUUAUUAGGGAAGAACAAAUGUGUAAGUAAAUAUGCACGUAUUGACGGUACCUAAUCAGAAAGCAACGGCUAACUACGUG